AGUGAACGCUGGCGGUAUGCCUAACACAUGCAAGUCGAACGGAAGCACAGUAAGCGCUUGCUCUUACGGGUGGCGACUGGCGGGCGGGUGAGGAAUAGAUCGGAAUCUACUUUUUCUGGGGGGAUUACGUGGGAACACUUACACUAACACCGCAUACAAUCUACGGGAGAAAGCAGUAGAUCUUCAGACCUUUCGCGAUUGAAUGAGCCGAUGCCGGAUUAGCUAGUUGGCGGGGUAAAGGCCCACCAAGGCGACGAUCCGUAGCUGAUCUGAGAGGAUGAUCGGCCACACUGGAACUGAGACACGGUCCAGACUCCUACGGGAGGCAGCAGUAGGGAAUAUUGGGCAAAGGGCGCAAGCCUGAUCCAGCCAUACCGCGUGGGUGAAGAAGGCCUUCGGGUUGUAAAGCCCUUUUGUUAGGGAAGAAAAACAGCAUGUUAAUCCCCCGCUGUUCUGACGGUACCUAAAGAAUAAGCACCGGCUAACUUCGUG
Molecule: ribosomal RNA, 492 nt
Filed under: uncultured bacterium
Lineage: Bacteria
Description: partial 16S ribosomal RNA
Rfam family: Bacterial small subunit ribosomal RNA
Source: RNAcentral